GCCACGGUGGUCUAGCGGUUAGAACGCUGGCCUUGUAAUCCUGGGGUCUCGGGUUCCAUUCCCGGCGGUGCCC
Zootermopsis nevadensis is the source of this 73-nucleotide non-coding RNA. The record is from Rfam. Lineage: Eukaryota; Metazoa; Arthropoda; Insecta; Blattodea; Termopsidae.